This 117-nucleotide transfer RNA is filed under the name Microcaldota archaeon. Its description in RNAcentral is "tRNA-OTHER". The stretch from base 51 to 117 matches the Rfam family "tRNA". Rfam says of the family: Transfer RNA (tRNA) molecules are approximately 80 nucleotides in length. Their secondary structure includes four short double-helical elements and three loops (D, anti-codon, and T loops). Lineage: Archaea; Nanobdellati; Microcaldota. The record is from RNAcentral.
GGGCCCGUGUGGCAACCAGCCUUGAACUUGCCUUUGAUAUGGAAAGCGCUAGGCUUGCAAUGGAUAACCGGCGGGGCUUCGGACCCCGAGAUAAGGGUUCAAAUCCCUUCGGGCCCG